UGCUCGUGUAGUGUAGUUCGGUCCAUCAUGACGGACUCUCGAUCCGUCGACCCGGGUUCAAAUCCCGGCACGAGCAUC
This 78-nucleotide transfer RNA is filed under the name Methanobacteriota archaeon. Its description in RNAcentral is "Euryarchaeota archaeon tRNA-Glu(ctc)". It matches the Rfam family "tRNA". From Rfam's summary of the family: Transfer RNA (tRNA) molecules are approximately 80 nucleotides in length. Their secondary structure includes four short double-helical elements and three loops (D, anti-codon, and T loops). Further hydrogen bonds mediate the characteristic L-shaped molecular structure. tRNAs have two regions of fundamental functional importance: the anti-codon, which is responsible for specific mRNA codon recognition, and the 3' end, to which the tRNAs corresponding amino acid is attached (by aminoacyl-tRNA synthetases). tRNAs cope with the degeneracy of the genetic code in two manners: having more than one tRNA (with a specific anti-codon) for a particular amino acid; and 'wobble' base-pairing, i.e. permitting non-standard base-pairing at the 3rd anti-codon position. Lineage: Archaea; Methanobacteriati; Methanobacteriota. The record is from RNAcentral.